Molecule: transfer RNA, 76 nt
Filed under: Sphaerodactylus townsendi
Lineage: Eukaryota; Metazoa; Chordata; Lepidosauria; Squamata; Sphaerodactylidae
Description: tRNA-Ala
Source: RNAcentral
GGAGGGGCUAGGGUUCAGUGAUAGAGCGUCUGAUUGGCAAGCAGAAGGUCCCAGGGUUCUAUCCUCGGGCUUUCCU